AUGCCAAAAGUUAUUGCUGCUUCAAGCAGCAUUAAGUCCUGCUUGAUUCCCAGCAGGAACUGUGUAUAUUUAGUGAGUGGCUUCAACUUUGGCACUGAAAACGUGGAUAUUCCACCACCUUACCAGGACCUAAAUCCCAUCCACUACUGUAGUAGUGAUUUCAGACACUGGCUUGGACUAAACCUUUUCCCACAAUUUUCAAAUUCAGUUCUCAACAGCAAAAGGAUGAGAAGUUCAGAAAUAACAUGGGAACGGGUGGCCACUGAGAUCAGUUGUUGCUGAGUAAGAACUGGAUGCAUCUCCUGCUCCUGCAUCAGGACCGCUGACAUGAACAAGUGGGAGGAAGAUCAAGCUCUGGCAAGGACUGGCUCAGGAGCUGCUUCGUUCUCCUUUCACACGGAUGGGAGUGUCACAGCGCGUUUUCCUGUCUAAUCAGUCUCAGCACAGCCUUGCACAACUCAGUCUGCUUUAAGCUUUUAACCAGGGUGUAGGAGUUCAGAAAAAAAAACCACCUCCCUUCCCCCAAGAAAAAUGUAAUUGCGAAGAUUUGUUUUGAUGUAGCAUGUACAGUGAACUUGAAUCGCUGAAAGGGAACCACACAUUUGUGCGAGUAUUUUUUCUUUCCCUCAUUUUCAUUCCUAGUUAGUUAUUCAUUUUAUUUACCUCCUAGAGAAAAUGCACUAGAGGCUGGAUCUGACUUCCAGUGAGGCUCGUGGUGGAGCUGCCAGGGCCAUAAUCCCUGGCUCCUCUCUGGUGACCCAGCUGGAGCUCUCCCAGUAUAUACCAGCAGACAAGCUGGUCCCCAUCAUCAUUAAUGCAGACAGUGACUCAUCUGGUAGGCCAAAGCAAAUGUUAAUGCUUAGUAGUUAUAUCAAAAUAGUGCAUGGUGAUAGAUUCCACUCUCAUAAUUGUGUUACUAAUUACAAGUGCUACUUACUCUUUGUAAGAUUCAUUUGUUUCAGUACUCUGAGAGAAAUCAUGAGGUUAGUGAAUUUAAGGCUUCAUACAAAAGCCUUGAUGUUACAACAUGAUCUGCACCAAAAGCAGUGCAUAUAUGUGCAAUUGUGCAAAGUGUAAAGAUCAUGGUGCUUGUAAGCUCUCUAGACCUCUGGUGAUGCCUACACAGAAAUUUCAAUUUUUUUCUUCCAUUAAUAAGCUCAGAAUAUGGAUCUUGGUUAUUUUUAUUACCAGUACAGAGGAUGCUGAGAUGUGGAGGACAAAUGGCAGAGUAGACUAAAAUUCAAAUUAAGCUAUAAAUGAGCAUAGUAAAUAGCAGGGUGAGAACGGAAUAUCAAGGGACAAAGCCAAUAAAAUAUUGUUCCUUUUAGAAGAGAUGAUCAAAUAAAAUUAACUAAUAUUUAACAAUCUCAUACUCACUGUAGAGUAAUUUAUUGUGACAGCAAUAAGAAAAUUACUAAUGAAUAGCUACAGAAAUGUACAGAUUGGGGCAAUUAAUAUAGAUCUAAACCAAUGCCAACAAUGAAAAUGGGAAUUCCUUGACAGGACAAAAAGACAGUUUGGGAAUUGAGGCUGUUCCACCUGGAGAAGGGAAGGCUCUGAGGACAGUUUGGGAAUUGAGGCUGUUCCACCUGGAGAAGGGAAGACUCUGAGGACACCUUAGAACACCUUCCAGUACCUAAAGGGGGCCUGCAAGAAAGUUGAAGAGGGACUUUUCACAAGGGUGUG
RNAcentral lists this long non-coding RNA (1686 nucleotides) under Ficedula albicollis (Collared flycatcher). RNAcentral's name for it is "lncRNA (ENSFALG00000026652.1)". Lineage: Eukaryota; Metazoa; Chordata; Aves; Passeriformes; Muscicapidae. The record is from RNAcentral.